GCUCAACUUCCUACCUGAUACAUAGCUUCCUGUCACCAUGAUAGUAUUCAUACUAGCCUCUAAGUCACUCGUUUUAUCAUUACCUCAGUAUAUUAAUAUAAUCAUUUUUCUAUAGCUUUUUUAAAAAUAUAUUAUUUUUGAAAAUUGUGUUUAUCCGUUCAGUUAGUGAUUUUUGUAAUUCGAUUAUUGUGUUCUGUGUCUUUUUUUGUCUCGUUUAGCUAGCUAUUAACGCGCUUACCAUGCCGUUGUUUUACACAAGGUGCUUGAAGAGCUGCCAAAGGUAACAGUGACAGGUGUACAUCGUCUGGCCAAGACAAUUAGCAAAGCACCGACCUCCAAGUUGGAAAAAGGUUUAAAACUUUGUCUCCAGUUACCUUUUCUACUAUGAAGGUUGUACUGAAGCGCUCUGAGCCAGAAACAAUGACACAUCACGUGUGUUCAUGUGUUGCUGGCACUGCAUUAUGCAACCAAACAGUUGCAUUACUAUUCCAGUCUGCACACUAUUCCCAGAUGGGAACAUCAGUCAUCUCACCUGUGCACAGAGGCCAGGCAGCAGUGUCAUAAGCCCAGGACUAUGGGUCUGAAACCUGGGCCUAUAGGCAAAAUGACCAUCAUAUGCAAAAUGACCGUCAUAGGCAAAAUGACCAUCACCAAGACCACCAAAAAGUGCAUGGCAGAAAGAGGGAUUAGAUGAGUAUUCCCUAAUAGCCAGUAUAGUAGGUAGUAGCUGGUCAUGUCCUAUUACACUUUGACUAUAUAAAAUGAUUUCAUUUCAGGUGGUUUCAAGUACGUUGUUUAGAUUGGCUAACCACAGCGGCUGCUUUGCUUUGCAGAAGUACACACCCUUCUUGGACCGCUCCCUGACCUCUCAGUUCUUCAGAUAGAAGAGGCAUAAAAUAACUUUAUCCAAGCCAUUGAUCUGCAGCAUGGGGAUGUCUGCUGAAAAGCUUUUAGCCAAGGAAAGGUGCAAGUGGGGAGGCUCCUGUCUUAUCAGCAGCCACCAAUCACAAUGCAACACAUAGUUCACCAUACGGAGACACCACCAUUCCCUUCACUGCCCCUGGAUUGCUACAGACUGGAGAACAACUUUCAAGGCUGCCCAUUUGUGUUCAGUGAAGGAGACCAGCUUCACAUAGUCUCUUCAGGUGAGCUUCGCAACAGCCCAUAAAAUAGAGGAAGCUACUAGAGAACAGAGUGCUUUCUCCGACUGGCAGGUGCUACGGAAAUCAAGACUGACCUCGUCAUGGUUCUGAGAGGCUUGCCAUGUGAGAGUGCCUGCGGAUGUCUGCCAUCUAGCUGAAAGGAUCCUCAAAGGCACAGCACCAACAGCUGACAUGAAGAGGGGACUGGAGUUGGAAGCAGCCAGUGACUACUGCAAGAUGCAGAAUGUCAAAUUCUCACCCUGUGGCCUCCUCAUACAUCCUGACAUCCCUUGGUUUGCUUCUUCUCCUGAUGGCCUGGUCUACUACAACCCUCUCGAGCAUCCACCUUUUGGCCUAGUUGAGAUUAAGUAAACGUAAAAGAUUUUGUGGAUUGUAAGUACGUUCACAUGCAUAACGGUGAACCUUCCCUGAAGAGGCAUACCUACUACUGGCAAGUUCAAGGUCAGCUCUACAUCACUGAGUUGGAGUGGUGUGACUUUGUUGUCUGUGGACAUGAGGACAUUCUGUUUGAGAUAGUACAGAGACCCAGUGGUGUUCACACUAAUUAGAGUGAAGGGUGACUGGUACUACUUAUAUGUGUACAUGCAAAGGUUAUUAGGCAGGAAAGCCUAAAUAACUCCAGACAGGCUCCUGUACCUUUUCAAUUAAUGAAAGAGAAACAAACUAACAAAUCUGUCUGUGCAAUUAAUUAAUGAAUAAGUCAUUUUAAAUAAUUCAGUAACAUUUUUUCAGUUCUCUUGUCACUGUAAAUAAAAAUUCUGUCCAACA
Molecule: long non-coding RNA, 1931 nt
Organism: Oncorhynchus keta (chum salmon)
Lineage: Eukaryota; Metazoa; Chordata; Actinopteri; Salmoniformes; Salmonidae
Exons: 3
Source: RefSeq, a predicted model, not a curated record